RNAcentral lists this ribosomal RNA (422 nucleotides) under uncultured bacterium. RNAcentral describes it as "bacterial SSU rRNA". It matches the Rfam family "Bacterial small subunit ribosomal RNA", at positions 355 to 774 of the family's 1533-position model. The record is from RNAcentral.
UGAGGAAUCUUGCGCAAUGGGGGAAACCCUGACGCAGCCACGCCGCGUGCUGGAAGACGGCCCUAUGGGUUGUAAACAGCUUUUGAUGGGGAAGAACCUGGGAGAUUCGUCUCCCACUGACGGUACCCAUCGAAUAAGCACCGGCUAACUCCGUGCCAGCAGCCGCGGUAAUACGGAGGGUGCAAGCGUUGUCCGGAAUCAUUGGGUGUAAAGGGUGCGCAGGCGGAAGCCUAAGUCGGAGGUGAAAUCUUGCCGCUUAACGGUAAAAGGGCCUUCGAUACUGGGUUUCUUGAGUUCGGAAGAGGUCGGUGGAAUUCGUGGUGUAGCGGUGAAAUGCAUAGAUAUCACGAAGAACACCAGUGGCGAAAGCGGCCGACUGGUCCGAUACUGACGCUGAGGCACGAGAGCGUGGGGAGCGAACA